UACGUAGGGGGCAAGCGUUGUCCGGAAUCAUUGGGCGUAAAGCGCGUGUAGGCGGUUCAGUAAGUCUGCUGUGAAAGUCCAGGGCUCAACCCUGGGAUGCCGGUGGAUACUGCUGGGCUAGAGUACGGAAGAGGCGAGUGGAAUUCCCGGUGUAGCGGUGAAAUGCGCAGAUAUCGGGAGGAACACCGGGUGGCGAAGGCGGCCAUCUGGACGGUAACUGACGCUGAGACGCGAAAGCGUGGGGAGCAAACAGGG
RNAcentral lists this ribosomal RNA (255 nucleotides) under uncultured bacterium. RNAcentral describes it as "partial 16S ribosomal RNA". It matches the Rfam family "Bacterial small subunit ribosomal RNA", at positions 524 to 777 of the family's 1533-position model. The record is from RNAcentral.